CUCAAUCCAGCGCAAGAACCUAUCUACGAAUAUAUUUAUAGUUAACAAUUAACUUACAAGUAAUUAAUCGUUUUUAAAGUAUUCAAAUGUUACUGAUAAAGUGAAACAAAAAAUAAUUAAUAAUUUUUACUUUGCACCCCGUUUUGAUUGGAACACACUGAAUUACAUCACUUCCGGUCGGCGCCUCACAUGCAGUGUAGUCGCAUAAGUUUAUUUUCUUUAGUGCAUCCAAAGCUCGAAUUGGAUCGGAUAAUUACACACCUGCAGAUGGUUGGGACCCCGUGCAGCCCCUUUCUGAUUCCCUUUCCGUGUUUUCGGCCGUCAUUUGUCAUACAGUGGAAAGGAGUGACAAUAUAACCCCUCUAUAAUAGAAUAGAAGCUCAAGAUUUCAGCAUUUCUAAAGGAAGCUGCUCACAGAGAUGUUGAAUGAAAACUUGAUGACUGCCAAGAAACACCGAAAGGAGAAGUAAAUGGAUUGUCCCUGCCAAUGUACACUGACCACAGGGCGAGUUCCGGUGUGGUCACGUGGAAAAUGACGUCAAUGCAUACCCUCUAUAGUGAUGGGGACACUAUACUAUCAAAAAGCACCAUCCUUCGGAUGAGACGUUAAACUGAGGUCCUGACUCUCUCAUUAAAAUUCAAAGGAUGUCAUUUGAAUAAAAGUAGGGGUGUGCCCCGGCAUUCCUGGCCAAACUUGCCCAUUGGUGUACUAAUCAUCCCCAUAUAUACUAAUUGGCUAUAUAACUUUGUCUCCUCUCCACUCAUAAGCUGUUGUAUGGUGGGCGUUCUGGCGCAAUAUGGCUGCCGUCGCAUCAUCCAGGUGGAUGCUGCAUAUUGGUGGUGGUUGAGAAGAUUCCCUCAUUCAUAUGUAAAGCGCUUUGAGUGCUGCAGAAAAGUGCUAUAUAAAUGUAACAAAUUGUUAUUAUUACAGGUUCAAUGUUUAAAAGUAAAAGUUCUUAAAAGAUGUUCACACAAUCGUACUAGUGUCUACUAUAAACACUUCACUUAAUAUAUAUAGUGAUUGGAUUGUUCAUGACAUAAUACCAUAAAAAUUAUAAAUGUUAUAACCUUGUUGUAAUGUUUUUAUAAUUUCACGCAUUUCUGCGUGUCUCCUAAAACAUCUGCCUCGGGCCCGCCCCGGAAGGCCUGAGACGAUGGCCUGAUUCGUGUGGCCUGAAUCGUGGGUGCUGCUGGGCUGCAGUUGGAUACUAUUGGUUGAGAAAGCUCAUUAAAUUACUUCAUAUGCACUUUUUUCACAAUGUAUAACCUUGCAUCUUGUUGUUUUGUUUACUUUCAUUACAGUUAUUUAAAGAAGGUUUUGACAUCCAAACAUUUCUCCAUGCUGAUGGCCAUGCAGCAGAGUUCAAACAGACCGGUCAGAAAACACCUCUAAGGUGCUAUGAACCAUAUGGCUAGUUACAGAAGCUCCAGUAUAUGGAUCCAGCAUCACUUGUGAAGACUUCAGAUGACGCCUACACUCACAGAGACUUCAGAUGAUGGCAACUAAAGAUGGACAUACAAAACUGCCAAACGUUAUAUUGUAAUCACUGCCUCGAAGCAUACGUUUGCAGAUUUGCAACCCACUUUAUAUUUUACAAUAAGUGGUAAUAUUUGAAUGGACAAUGUUUACUUUUUUCUUUAGUUAAACUUGUACUGAGAUAUUCCCAUUUAUUUGUCUGCAAUACUCUUUCGAAUACAUAUAUUACAGACAUUGUAACAACA
This is a long non-coding RNA of Misgurnus anguillicaudatus (oriental weatherfish), 1722 nucleotides long. RefSeq lists it as uncharacterized. The record is from RefSeq and is a predicted model, not a curated record. NCBI's taxonomy places the organism in Eukaryota, Metazoa, Chordata, Actinopteri, Cypriniformes, Cobitidae.